Molecule: long non-coding RNA, 312 nt
Organism: Bos taurus (domestic cattle)
Lineage: Eukaryota; Metazoa; Chordata; Mammalia; Artiodactyla; Bovidae
Source: Ensembl
GCCCCACCCCCAACAUAAGUGUCACCUCUCUGUACUGAGACCCAUUGAGUCUCUGAAGAUCUCUUCUCAACAGUAACCUGUAUGAAAUCAUCGUGUGACUUCACAGGAAAUUUGAUCACAGGCUCAGGUGGAAUAAGUCAUAGUUUCCUCUGGGUGCCCAGCCCUGUUCAUGCUGGCUGUGGCUUCAGAACACUGCCCCUCCAGGAGAAACUGCAAGAGAAAACUGUUCAGGAACAUCUUCAGGUGAGGAAACCAAGACAUAAAAUAGUUAAGACCCGAAGUCAAACGUUAACCCUGAAACAAUCUUCAAAG